UUUUUCCUCUUCGCGAUGGCCCUCCGUUUCUUCCUCUACCCUCUUCCUCACCAAUUUAUCGAUUUCAUCCAAAUUCCUUUGAAUUCGUUUCAGACGCAGUGCCUCACCACAACAACAACCACCUCUCAUCCCUCAAACCUUCUUCAUCCCCUCCUCCUCCGCCCAAAACUGUUGAUGAUGUUUGGAAAGACAUAAUCCUAACUCACUCUCGCAGAGACCCACCUCACCAUAAUCACCACCCUUUCGAGGAAAUGACUCUUGAGGCUCUCCUCUCAAAAAAUGCUGUCGUCACUGAUGACGAUGUCAUCGCUGUUCUUCCUCUUUAUAAUCAUCAUCCUAUUUCUCAUCAGUUUCCGUAAAUUUCUGCCGGCUCAUCCUCCUCUGCAGCUGCUAGGUCUAGGGAAUGCAAAUAGGAAUCUCACUACUGGGGGCUAUAAUUGUUGAGUUGGAAGGAACAGGAGCUGAAUUAAAGUUGAGAUUUUUCAAUCUUUAUCUCUAUAACUUUAAAUUACUUGAUGCAGCUUCUUGAGUUCGUCAUUUCAGUAUCCAAUUGUGAAAAUUAGUACAAAAGAUCAAUCUUUUAUUGACUCUAUUACGGUGAUGUGAAAAUUGUUAGUUGGAUUUAGAUCUAAUUGAUUAUUGAAUACCCGUGAGCUAUCAACAGUGAGUGGAAUAGAUUCAAAAUGUAUGUUGAUGAUAAUAUUAUAUAACAUUGAUGUGACACUGAAUGUGCAGGAACUUAUAGAGUAAUAGAUGCAUUGGGUAUAUAUUUUAUGCAAUAUGAUAGAUCUGGAUAUAAAAUACAGGAAGAUACUGAUCCAAUGGACACUUUGGCUUGCAAAAUAUUCUCCAAGACUAUUGCAACUGGGAGUUUAAUCCAUUGAAGCUAAGCAAUUCAUUCUCUCACAACACAAGUAAAGUUCACAUUUGGCAGGGAUAUGAAGACAAGGUUGUACCCUCUCAAAUCCAGAGAUUUGUUUCAAGGAAUAUGCCAUGGAUAAAUUACCAUAAAGUUUCAGAUGGUGGACAUUUGAUUAUCCAUUAUAGUGGUUUGUGUGAGGCUUUUUUGUGCGAACUUUUACUUGGUAAAGAAACUAUUUCAUAUAGCCCUAGCUAGACCAGAUAGAGACAUACUUGUAUCUUAAUUUCUUCUCAUGUGUUUUUUUUUUUUUAUA
Molecule: long non-coding RNA, 1175 nt
Organism: Arachis stenosperma
Lineage: Eukaryota; Viridiplantae; Streptophyta; Magnoliopsida; Fabales; Fabaceae
Exons: 2
Source: RefSeq, a predicted model, not a curated record